Molecule: ribosomal RNA, 490 nt
Filed under: uncultured bacterium
Lineage: Bacteria
Description: partial 16S ribosomal RNA
Rfam family: Bacterial small subunit ribosomal RNA
Source: RNAcentral
AUGAACGCUGGCUACAGGCUUAACACAUGCAAGUCGAGGGGAAACGACGGGGAAGCUUGCUUCCCCGGGCGUCGACCGGCGCACGGGUGAGUAACGCGUAUCCAACCUGCCUCUGACUGAGGGAUAACCCGUCGAAAGUCGGCCUAAUACCUCAUGGUAUCGUCUGCGGGCAUCCAACGACGAUUAAAGAUUUCAUCGGUCAGGGAUGGGGAUGCGUCUGAUUAGCUUGUUGGCGGGGUAACGGCCCACCAAGGCUACGAUCAGUAGGGGUUCUGAGAGGAAGGUCCCCCACAUUGGAACUGAGACACGGUCCAAACUCCUACGGGAGGCAGCAGUGAGGAAUAGUGGUCAAUGGGCGAGAGCCUGAACCAGCCAAGUAGCGUGCAGGAAGACGGCCCUAUGGGUUGUAAACUGCUUUUAUGCGGGGAUAAAGUGAGGGACGUGUCCCUCAUUGCAGGUACCGCAUGAAUAAGGACCGGCUAAUUCCGUG